Molecule: long non-coding RNA, 980 nt
Filed under: Pandoravirus quercus
Description: hypothetical ncRNA
Source: RNAcentral
GUCUAAGUGCCGUCGGUCUGUUCCUCGGGCAGCAGGUCAAUCUGCCAGAGGGUGAACGGCGACAGCGGUCGGCGGCUAUCGUCGUCGCUGGCCGUCGGCGGGUUAUCGACAGGCGACGACGGCGACGACGACGCAGAUACCGCGAUGACCGCAUCGGAAAACGGCUUGAAUAUGCACACUGUUAUGUGCCACCUCGGCAGGUCAGAGUCGAUCUUGAUGGCGACAUCUCCGGUCGUUGGGUCACCAGGCGACGGCGCGCACGUGACCCUCAUGGUCACUUUGCCCCAUUCGGGCGUGGCAAAGACCACCUUGCGCCGCCGAUCUCGCAGGCCGCAGCACAGGCGAAUGCCACCUGGCGCAACGGGUUCCAAAAGGAGGCACCUCGUGGGGUCAUAAUAGGAUCCAAAAACGUCGGCCAGUGUGCCACGAUCAUCAUCCGAAAGGAGAUAGGCCAGGCGGGACACGAGGCCGCGCUUGAUCUCAUCAUCGAGCCCACUGCCGAGCGCGCGCAGCAAAAAUGCACCUACAGCCGCGUUGGGGGCCGUGGCGGCCUCGUCGUCGACCUUGGGCGGGAGCAAGGCGUCGAGUACAAUCUCCAUAAUGCGGAACAGCAGUUCGCGGUCGGCGUUGAGAAACAGCGCGCAGUCGACAAGGUCGGCGGCGUCGCAGUCGCCGUCGUGAAUCGCCGACGGCAGGCGUCGCGGAUCAUAGAGCAUAUCGACGAGGGUGUGGACCGACGACGGCUCAAAAGGCACAGUCACAUUAUAGACAUGGCGGUAAUGCGUGCGUCCAUUCUCGCCCUCGUAGGCUUCACUGCCGUCGGGGUCCGUCAGGGCAAAGAGGCGCGCAAAGUAAGGCCAUCGCGCGAGCACGACCCGGUGGGCGGUGAUUGUUUUCGAGAUGUCACCAAUGUCAUCGUUGGCGCUGCUAUUGUUGACGCUGUCGUCGGUGUUGGUGUCGCCACCCAUGCGCAAUUUGAU